This 246-nucleotide ribosomal RNA is filed under the name uncultured bacterium. RNAcentral's name for it is "partial 16S ribosomal RNA". It matches the Rfam family "Bacterial small subunit ribosomal RNA", at positions 524 to 769 of the family's 1533-position model. The record is from RNAcentral.
UACGGAGGGAGCUAGCGUUGUUCGGAAAUACUGGGCGUAAAGCGCACGUAGGCGGCGCAGCAAGUCAGGGGUGAAAUCCCGGGGCUCAACCUCGGAACUGCCUUUGAUACUGGCAAUCUCGAGUCCGGAAGAGGUGAGUGGAAUUCCUAGUGUAGAGGUGAAAUUCGUAGAUAUUAGGAAGAACACCAGUGGCGAAGGCGGCUCACUGGUCCGGUACUGACGCUGAGGUGCGAAAGCGUGGGGAGC